Molecule: ribosomal RNA, 472 nt
Filed under: Neisseria sicca
Lineage: Bacteria; Pseudomonadati; Pseudomonadota; Betaproteobacteria; Neisseriales; Neisseriaceae
Description: bacterial SSU rRNA
Rfam family: Bacterial small subunit ribosomal RNA
Source: RNAcentral
AUUGAACGCUGGCGGCAUGCUUUACACAUGCAAGUCGGACGGCAGCACAGAGAAGCUUGCUUCUUGGGUGGCGAGUGGCGAACGGGUGAGUAACAUAUCGGAACGUACCGAGCAGUGGGGGAUAACUAAUCGAAAGAUUAGCUAAUACCGCAUAUCUUCUGAGGAAGAAAGCAGGGGACCAUUUGGCCUUGCGCUGUUUGAGCGGCCGAUAUCUGAUUAGCUAGUUGGUGGGGUAAAGGCCUACCAAGGCGACGAUCAGUAGCGGGUCUGAGAGGAUGAUCCGCCACACUGGGACUGAGACACGGCCCAGACUCCUACGGGAGGCAGCAGUGGGGAAUUUUGGACAAUGGGCGCAAGCCUGAUCCAGCCAUGCCGCGUGUCUGAAGAAGGCCUUCGGGUUGUAAAGGACUUUUGUCAGGGAAGAAAAGGGCGGGGUUAAUACCCCUGUCUGAUGACGUACCUGAAGAAUAAG